Molecule: ribosomal RNA, 301 nt
Filed under: uncultured bacterium
Lineage: Bacteria
Description: partial 16S ribosomal RNA
Rfam family: Bacterial small subunit ribosomal RNA
Source: RNAcentral
CAGUCGCCGCGGUAAUACGAAGGGUGCAAGCGUUAAUCGGAAUUACUGGGCGUAAAGCGUGCGUAGGCGGUGAGUUAAGUCUGCUGUGAAAUCCCCGGGCUCAACCUGGGAAUGGCAGUGGAUACUGGCUCGCUAGAGUGUGUCAGAGGAUGGUGGAAUUCCCGGUGUAGCCGUGAAAUGCGUAGAGAUCGGGAGGAACAUCAGUGGCGAAGGCGGCCAUCUGGGACAACACUGACGCUGAGGCACGAAAGCGUGGGGAGCAAACAGGAUUAGAUACCCCAGUAGUCCCUGUCUCUUAUAC